AGCGAGCUCUUAACCAACUGAGUCACUCAGCCAGCCCUCAAAGGAAUUCUGUUUUUGUUUGCCAUAUCCACGGAUCCCUGUGAGUCAGGCCAUCCUGUCUUUGCUGCCCAUUAUGUCUAAGCCAUUGCAAAGACAAUCACCUUCUAACAAUAAUAGCCUGGCUUUCAUUCCUCUCUCUGUCAGAUUUCUCUUCAUACAACAGCCAGAAUUAUGAUUAUUUUUUCAGAAUUAUU
Molecule: long non-coding RNA, 233 nt
Organism: Hipposideros armiger (great roundleaf bat)
Lineage: Eukaryota; Metazoa; Chordata; Mammalia; Chiroptera; Hipposideridae
Exons: 3
Source: RefSeq, a predicted model, not a curated record